UUGAACGCUGGCGGCAUGCCUUACACAUGCAAGUCGAACGGUAACGGGUUAAGCCGACGAGUGGCGAACGGGUGAGUAAUAUAUCGGAACGUGCCCAAUCGUGGGGGAUAACGCAGCGAAAGUUGUGCUAAUACCGCAUAAGAUCUACGGAUGAAAGCGGGGGACUCGCAAGAGCCUCGCGCGGACGGAGCGGCCGAUGGCAGAUUAGGUAGUUGGUGGGAUAAAAGCUUACCAAGCCGACGAUCUGUAGCUGGUCUGAGAGGACGACCAGCCACACUGGGACUGAGACACGGCCCAGACUCCUACGGGAGGCAGCAGUGGGGAAUUUUGGACAAUGGGCGAAAGCCUGAUCCAGCCAUGCCGCGUGCAGGAUGAAGGCCUUCGGGUUGUAAACUGCUUUUGUACGGAACGAAAAGACUCCUUCUAAUAAAGGGGGUCCAUGACGGUACCGUAAGAAUAAGCACCGGCUAACUACGU
This 477-nucleotide ribosomal RNA is filed under the name uncultured bacterium. RNAcentral's name for it is "bacterial SSU rRNA". It matches the Rfam family "Bacterial small subunit ribosomal RNA", at positions 30 to 506 of the family's 1533-position model. The record is from RNAcentral.